RNAcentral lists this long non-coding RNA (1945 nucleotides) under Musa acuminata (dwarf banana). RNAcentral's name for it is "long non-coding RNA (MACU_LNC006024)". The record is from RNAcentral. Lineage: Eukaryota; Viridiplantae; Streptophyta; Magnoliopsida; Zingiberales; Musaceae.
GCAAAGCCAACAGAGUGAGGUGUCGAUGAGCCAGCAAUUGGAAGUCCGUGGCAUGCUUGCCAUGGUGCUUACUCUAGUGAUGAGUACACGAAUUCGUGGCAUGUGAAUCUUUCCACCCUUAAUUCCCCCAGAGGAAUACACAGACUGUGUCACAGUCACACGUAAGAAACACACUGAGAAAGGCAAACGUUCACGUGAUGAAUGAUGCUUCCUCCUUAUCUACCUCUCGUUGGUUCUUGUUUGGUUCUCCAUCGUAAGGAGCCUUCCACUCCAGAGGAGGAGAGGAGGGAGCCAUGAGCUUCGGGAGCAAGUCUUCUGUGAGCUGCGCUGACGCUCGUUGGCCGGUUAGACCAAGCUACAAGUGGCCGGAGUCCGACGCCGAGUUCGUGAAGUCGAUGGCAGGAAGAAGGGGUGAAAGAGGCAGCCAUCGCGAUGGGAGGAAGAAGUGGAGUCCGAGUCCGAUGGUGGUGGAUAGCUAUUCCUGCCGGCAGAUGUACCUGAGGAGCUACACCUUCUCCAAGGAGGAGACUGUCACGGAGAAGGCACGGCAGUGCCUCGGGAAAGUCAAGGGGCGAGCUGCUCUUCUGUUCCCUUUUCUCCAGCAGAAUUCUGAGAGCGGCAAUGAAAUGCACGGACGUAACAGCAGGAGGAAGAAGAAGAAGAAGAAGAAGAAGGGUUGCGGAACAAACAGGAAGCUGAGAGAGAUCUCCUACUCGGCACUGUUCUCCAUUUUCUACCGACUCCUCUUGUGCACCGCUGGUGUCGAAGUUGCUGACCGAAAAUAAACCGACGUGUUAAUUUUGCUGGAUCUCUCUCCAUACAAGUACAAAUUUGUUCUAUGUAUUCUCAGAAGCUGGUGUUUUGUAUCUGUGUAUCGUACUAAAAUAUCAGAAUUAAGAGUCGCAAUAUUACUUUUAUACUCUGCAGCUUUUGAAGAACUCGAUAAGAACUCCUUGCAGAAAUUGUCAUUACACAUCCUAUUUCAAGUUGUUCCAAGGAUGAAAUAUUAUACAUUCAAUUUGUAUCAUCCUUUAUAAGUGCUGUCCGUGUAAGCCUCUGAGAUAAACAUACAGACUCUCUCUCUCUCUCUCUCUCUAAAACACAUCACACCAAUUCUGCUUAUUUAGUGAGAAGCAUGCAUGAACAUCUCUUUUUGUGUGGCGGCCAACAAAAGUUGUGGAAGAUCUCAUGGACCGUCUUGUGUGCAGCUUAGAAGAGGCUGCUCGCAUAGUGCCCACUGGAGAACGUUCUUGUUGAUGUGCCUCACAUGGUCACAAAGUGUUUGAGCCUACAUCUGUCCUUAUUUGAUUCUCGGCAACAAGUCUUGUUAAGCUUUCUUCUCAUGGUUAGAAUACGUUUGUGAAACUCGAGUUUUCCCCUUCCAAUGUAACCCGAUCGGUUGGUAUCUCACAGUUGGAUUGUUUUAUAUGUAAUUAAUACUGGUUUCAUUACUUAGAUUUGUGGGGGGAGAUACUGAUGAUUAAGUUUCGAGUUCCAAAGAUGAUUCCUGUUGUCCAUCAAUCAUCUCACUCUCGCUAUUCAGAUGGAAAGGAUGGAAAAUCCAAGUUCAAGAAUAGUAUGUUGCAUAUGUUGGCCUUCUCCUAUUGCCCAGCCUUUCUUUCCUUCAGUCAACAUCAGUACAUUUUCCACAUCUUUGCAACUCCGGACAGACAUCUAAGUGAUGACACCACUCGUGGAUACCACAGCAACCAUUGUGGAACACCCAUGGUGGCUACAUGAAGAACAAAAGCAGAGCCAUGCGACUGCUGAUGUUUCUUCUACUGUAAUGUCAACUUUCUGUGAUCCUGAAUCGAAGCAAAACUAAUGGUUAUGGUUUGCUGACGACGCGUGGAUUGGUUGGAGCAGAUGAUGGCACAGUUGAGAGGAGCAGCCACUGCCACAGGGGUUCCAUUUUCAAGAACCAACCAAGUGAGCAGAGACCAAA